CUACGGGUCGCACCAGUGGGGAAUAUUGCACAAUGGGCGCAAGCCUGAUGCAGCCAUGCCGCGUGUAUGAAGAAGGCCUUCGGGUUGUAAAGUACUUUCAGCGGGGAGGAAGGGAGUAAAGUUAAUACCUUUGCUCAUUGACGUUACCCGCAGAAGAAGCACCGGCUAACUCCGUGCCAGCAGCCGCGGUAAUACGGAGGGUGCAAGCGUUAAUCGGAAUUACUGGGCGUAAAGCGCACGCAGGCGGUUUGCUAAGUCAGAUGUGAAAUCCCCGGGCUCAACCUGGGAACUGCAUCUGAACUGGCAAGUUUGAGUCUCGUAGAGGGGGGUAGAAUUCCAGGUGUAGCGGGGAAAGGCGUAGAGAUCUGGAGGAAUACCGGUGGCGAAGGCGGCCCCCUGGACGAAGACUGACGCUCAGGUGCGAAAGCGUGGGGAGCAAACAGGAUUAGAUACCCUAGUAGUC
This 463-nucleotide ribosomal RNA is filed under the name uncultured bacterium. RNAcentral's name for it is "partial 16S ribosomal RNA". It matches the Rfam family "Bacterial small subunit ribosomal RNA", at positions 339 to 795 of the family's 1533-position model. The record is from RNAcentral.